AUGGGCUGUCGUAGCCUUGUUGCCCUUGUCCUGACUGCUGCGGAGAAGUUGGGUAGUAUCCUUGUUGCCCUUGUCCUAAUUGUUGCCCUUAAAUUGGGUAGUACCCUUGUUGUCCUUGUCCUGAUUGUUGCUUUUGUCCUGGCUGCUGACCUUGUUGCCCUUGUUCUAGUUGUUGCCCUUGUCCUGACUGUUGGCCUUGUUGCCCUCGUUCUGGUUGCUGCCCUUGUUGGCCUUGUGUUAGUUGUUGCAAUUGUCCUGGCUGCUGCGAAGAAGUUGGAUAGUAUCUUGGUUGCCCUUGUCCUGACUGCUGACCUUGUUGUCCUUGUCUUAGUUGCUGCCCUUGUCCUGGUUGCUGUCUUUGUUGCUCUUGUGUUGGUUGUUGCAAUUGUUCUGGCUGCCAUGGAGAAGUUGGAUAGUACCCUGGUUGCUCUUGUCCUGACUGCUGCGGAGAAGUUGGGUAGUACCCUGAUUGCCCUUGUCCCGGUUGUUGCCAUUGUCCUGACUGUUGCGGAGAAGUUAGGUAGUAUUCUUGUUGUCCUUGUCCUGGCUGCUGACCUUGUCCUGGCCGUUGCGAAGAAGCUUGGCCUGGAUAGUAUGAAACCCGUUGCGGAGAAGUUACACUUAGGUAAUACCUUCUUAGUAGUGCAGGUAUUCCCCAAAGUAUACUUUGUUGGAGUUGCUGUGGUGGCGUGGUCUCGCCGGGGUAGAAAGAUCCACCCUUGGGCGGCACCACGACUUGCUGCUCAUAUUGUCUCGCGACCGGGCCGCCGCCGACGGGUUGGCACUCGGGGCUAA
This 795-nucleotide ribosomal RNA is filed under the name Triticum aestivum (bread wheat). RNAcentral's name for it is "partial small subunit ribosomal RNA". The record is from RNAcentral. Lineage: Eukaryota; Viridiplantae; Streptophyta; Magnoliopsida; Poales; Poaceae.